GGGAGUAAGGCUGGGAAGGAAACCUACAGGGGCCACGCUGAACAGGCCACGAGGUGUCCCUGGGAGAGAAGAGUCCCCAGGAAGCAUGGGGAUGAUGGGGAGGUAUCCACCAGCACCUUUCCUUCUUGGGUGGGAGUGACUCCUGGGGACACCCACCACCUCCUGGCACAUAAGUUGCAGCCUGCGUGAGUCGGGGGCAGCCCGGGAACAGGUUCCAGCAUGGAAGCCCAGAAGCCACCGGGUUCUACAGAGCCAUCUGCAGGUGAGCUCUGAGACCAGUGGGGGACAUGCAGGUGUGGCCCCACAAGCAUCUGCUACAGACAGCCUGGGGAAUAGUGUCCCCGCUCCACCACCAAUUCACAUCCCCCUGGAACCUGUGAAUCGGGUCUUACUUGGAAACGGUCUCUGCAGAUGGCAUCAGGUGAAAAUGUGGGUGUAUAUUAAAUGACGGCCGGUGUCCUUAUAACAGGAGGGGAACUGGGACACAGACACAGGGGAAAGACGGUCACGUGAUGACUGCAGCCACCUGUCAUCACGUGAUGCCGCCGCAAGCCGAGGAAUGCUGAAGCCGCCAGAGACCGGAAGAGCAGGAAUCACGGCUGGCUGGACCUGCCAGGCGGAGUGUGGCCCUGGCGACCCCUUGAUUUGGGACUUCUGACCUCCAGAACUGCAGGAGAAGAAAUCUUUCAGCCCCCUGGUUUGUGGUACUUUGUUACCACAGCCACAGGGGACAAUACAGCUAGUCACGACCGUUCUGUGCCUCGGUUUACUCGACCGACAAAAGAGAAAGCAAAGGAGGCUCCAUCCCUGACUGUUGAUGGACAACUCCUCCUGGGCAGGUGAAUGAAGACCCCACCCCAACGUCAGCAGAGCUGUGCCCCUGACGGCACAAAGCCACAGGCCAUGAGUGUUUUGGAGUACCUACUGUGUGCCAGUGACCGUCCCAGAUUCUGGGGACACAGAAGUAUGUAUAGGAAUAGAGGUCCUUUUGUAUGACUAUUAUGCAUCCAUCAUAACUACAAAUAAACCAUCUUAUAAACA
Molecule: non-coding RNA, 1041 nt
Organism: Callithrix jacchus (white-tufted-ear marmoset)
Lineage: Eukaryota; Metazoa; Chordata; Mammalia; Primates; Cebidae
Source: RefSeq, a predicted model, not a curated record